RNAcentral lists this ribosomal RNA (253 nucleotides) under uncultured bacterium. RNAcentral describes it as "partial 16S ribosomal RNA". It matches the Rfam family "Bacterial small subunit ribosomal RNA", at positions 524 to 776 of the family's 1533-position model. The record is from RNAcentral.
UACGAAGGGUGCAAGCGUUAAUCGGAAUUACUGGGCGUAAAGCGCGCGUAGGUGGUUCAGUAAGUUGGAAGUGAAAUCCCCGGGCUCAACCUGGGAACUGCUUUCAAAACUGCUGAGCUAGAGUACGGUAGAGGGUGGUGGAAUUUCCUGUGUAGCGGUGAAAUGCGUAGAUAUAGGAAGGAACACCAGUGGCGAAGGCGACCACCUGGACUGAUACUGACACUGAGGUGCGGAAGCGUGGGGAGCAAACAGG